RNAcentral lists this non-coding RNA (206 nucleotides) under Bacillus solimangrovi. RNAcentral's name for it is "T-box sequence". It matches the Rfam family "T-box leader". From Rfam's summary of the family: Uncharged tRNA acts as the effector for transcription antitermination of genes in the T-box leader family. T-boxes are found upstream of many aminoacyl-tRNA synthetase genes and some amino acid biosynthetic genes usually in Gram-positive bacteria. The record is from RNAcentral. Lineage: Bacteria; Bacillati; Bacillota; Bacilli; Caryophanales; Bacillaceae.
AAACUAGCGUUGAAAAGGAUUAGUAGAUAACGUCUGUGAGUGAUGAUAGAGAAUGGGAGCCACCGGCUGAAAGCUCCCUUCACUUAAACGAAUCGAACCUACCUUGGAGCUGUCAAGGAAACUUGAACGUCGCUCGCGUUAUUGAGCAUGUAAGUGGGCUAUGAUAGCCAAACAAGGUGGUACCGCGGAACCUCUCCGUCCUUUUU